This is an RNA transcript of Populus nigra (black poplar), 2875 nucleotides long. It is a transcript of the gene named transcription factor bHLH130-like, with no coding region annotated. Lineage: Eukaryota; Viridiplantae; Streptophyta; Magnoliopsida; Malpighiales; Salicaceae. The record is from RefSeq and is a predicted model, not a curated record. The transcript has 8 exons.
UUUUCUGGCCAACAAAGAAGAAAGAUAAACCUUCGCCUCUCUCUUUUCCUUUUCGGUCUUCCUCUCUCCACUGCUCUCAUCAUUACCGCGCUCUCUCUCACCCUUUAAGCUCAAGAUCUUCCUUGCUUUCGGUGCUUUGAAAAGCAAAUCUGAGGUUCCUACCUCUCCACUUCCUUCACAAAAACUCACCUUCCCUUCUCUCUCUCUCUCUCACUUUCAAUCUUUUCACUUGACAAUAUACGCAUACAAUCAGUAAAACCUUUUCUAGAGGUUUUUCAUUCUUCUCAUUAAGCUUUAAUGCUUCUCUUGAAAAGGUUUAAACCUUUUCUUUUCUUGAUUGCUUCCUCUUCAAGAUCUUAUCUUUACUCUGCUUAAAAAAUAAGCUGACAGAAAAUUUUAUCAAGAAAGCGAUGCUAAAAUAUUCCCAGAAUUUUCUUCCAGCCUUAAUAAAGUAGUUACUAUUGAGGUACUUGUAAAUGGUUCUUCAGCAUCAAAUCUGUUAACUUGAGCCCACAAUAGUUAAGAAGAAACAGAGAGAAUCAGAGCAUUUGUUAAUGGAUUCGAGUAGUAGUCACAACUCCAGUUCAGGGUCGUUGAGAUUUCGCUCAGCUCCGAGUUCACUUCUUGCAAAUUUCACUGAUAAUGGAGUCGAAAAUGAUUCUGUUCUGAAUUUCCAAGAGUUUGAGGAUAAAUCCGCUGCAAGAGUGAGAGAGGAAGCUGUUAAUUAUUCAAGUUUGCCGCGGAGUUAUCCAGGUUUGCCUCCUCAUUAUCCAAGGCAAAGUUCAGCUACAAGUUCUUCAGCUAUGAAUAGUUCAUAUGGUUUGAUUGGUUCAAUAUCAAUGGGUCAUCAUGAGCAAGUUGAAAAGGUUGAUUCAAAUCCUGCUAGGCAGAAUAGCUCUCCCGCUGGACUUUUUGGGAACCUUCCUGUUCAAAAUGGAGUGGGAAACUAUUCUGGGUUGAAUGGUACUAAUGGAGAAGCAAGUCCGAGAUUGCAGAGUCAACUUAGCUUCUCAUCAAGAGUACCUUCUUCCUUAGGCUUGCUGUCACAGAUUUCUGAAAUUGGGAGCGAAAGCAUGGAGGCAGGCAGCCCUGACAGUGGAAAACUCACAAGUGUCAGUGUUGGCGGUCGAUUUUAUAGCAGUCACGGGUUUCCGUAUGGUUCUUGGAAUGAUUUGCAUUUGUCAGAGAACUAUAGCAGCAUGAAAAGAGAGCAAGAAAAUGAAAACUUGUUUUCUAAUGCUCAGAGCGGAGAACUUGGAAAUCGGGCUCAUGUAUUAUCCCACCACUUGAGUUUGCCAAAGACUGCAAUGGAAAUGGUUGCCAUGGAAAAGUUUCUCCAUUUCCAAGAUUCUGUUCCUUGUAAAAUUAGAGCAAAGCGUGGUUGUGCCACUCAUCCUCGAAGUAUCGCGGAAAGAGUGAGAAGAACUCGGAUCAGUGAAAGAAUGAGGAAACUACAAGAGCUUGUUCCAAACAUGGACAAGCAAACGAACACAGCAGACAUGUUAGAUUUGGCUGUAGUGUACAUUAAAGACCUUCAGAAACAGUACAAGACACUAAGUGACAACCGAGCCAACUGCAAGUGUUUAAGCAAGCAGAAGCCAGUGCAAAACAGAAUUGUUUGAGGUGCUUCUGUACAGAAAUCCAAGGGGCUGUACGACCAGUUCUUGUUGAUCUUUAGCAUCAGUUUAAAAAAGUUAGUCCAGCCCUCGUCAUCACAUGGGUAACCAAUCUAAUUCAUCCUAAAAAGCGAAAAAGAAUACACCCACAAAAAACAAGAAAAAAUUCGAAGAUGGUCGCAUCUGUCACUGGAAAAUCUACCGCAAGGAAGGAACCAAGGAACAAGGCAGCAGCUGGCUGCAAUUGCAAUACUGAAAAACAAGAGAACAGUUCGACCCUCAGAUAUUUACUAUCCAAAGAGGGUAAUGGGAUCACUUGAUUUCGUUGCCGUUGCUUGGAUUUGGCAAAAAGAAACCUCCCAUACCCAUUGGCAAUUCCAUGGAUCACAUUAGUCGACCACAUGCUGAUAUUUUGAUCAACAAUAUUCUACCUCGAUUGACACUGGGGGAAGCAACGCGAACCCGUGUUGAAGUAUUACAUAUGUUAGUCUCGCAGUGUUUGGGGAAGCUGAAAAUUUGAGGCUAUAAUGCCUAGAGUUAAGGAUAUCCACAAGAAACCUUGUCUCCUAUAAGCAUUAUGGGGACGAGACAACAGCCCCGUCUUGCUGCAGUAGAUGUUGGGGGGCUUUUUGCCUUCAAUUAUUAAUUAGAAGUGAAUGUGGAUUGUAUGCUUUGUCUCCAUCAUGGAGUUUAUUAGCCGCCCAGAACAUCAACGGCUUAAGGUAGUGGAAAUUGUCAGGUUUAAUGUGUUUGCUUUUAAUAAAGAAUCCAUCAUGUGCUUUGCAGAGUGUGCUGAGUUCCUUCUGUUGAAUUCUAACCUCGUGAAGUGUGGCAUGUGGUAGACUCGUCGGGGAAGCUGAAAUCUUGUGUCUAAUCUCUGAGGCUAAAGUUCCUCGAGUUGAAGGACAAUCUCAUGGAAAGUAUUGAUAUAUCUGAAAUAAACGACCUUGUCUCCAGCGAGUAUUAUGAGGACAGGAUAACUGUGAUCUUUUAAGGACGUGGCUAGUCUUGCUGCAGUAGCUUUCAGUGGGCAACGUUAAUGCUGUCAUCUUUUUGAAGAUUAUCUUUCUGGUCUUUGAACCUUCCUUUCUCAAUUAGAGACACUUUGUACUCUGUUAUAUUCUUUUAUGUUUAAUAUCUCCUUUGUAGCUGUUUAUUCUGGGUGAAAUUGGAUACUCUAAACGCUAUUUUAACAUAUUGGAUUACAUGGUUAAUGAAACAAAUAUAGUGUUUGUAAUGCCCAGAUUAAUCUUAAAGAA